GAAUGUCGAGAGCAGAGCUCGUGCGCGGAGGGGAUGUGACGUCAGAGAGGCGCGCCUCCCUCCGCUCGCUCACUAGUCGUUGAAUUUCGAUGAAAAACGGGAGAAAGUCCGAGUCACAUCGACACGGAGCGGCGGAUCGCGACUGUCACACACUCAGCCAUGUCAGACUUCCACGACUCUCUGGUCGACGUCUCCAGCGACAGCUUCUGGGAGGUGGGGAACUACAAGCGCGUGGUGAAGCGCGUGGAUGAUGGGAACCGGCUGUGCAACGACCUGAUGAACUGCCUUCACGAGCGCGCGCGCAUCGAGAAGAGCUACGCGCAGCAGCUGAGCGAAUGGGCCAAACGCUGGAGGCAGCUCGUGGAGAAAGGUGUGUGUGUGUGUGUGUGUGUGUGUGUGUGCUCGUGGAGAAAGGUGUGUGUGAGCGAGUGUGUGUGUGUGUGUGUGUGUGUGUGUGUGUGUGUGUGUGAGCUCGUGGAGAAAGGUUGCGCUCUCAUCGCCACUGACUCAUUUCUCUCUAGAAAUUUGCUUAAUCUGAAAAGGAUGUUUUGAGAUGGUUACUAGGCUGCUGAGUGUGACCUCACUUCCCCUAAACACUCUAAAAAGAGCUGCUGAUGGGAUUGUGAAUCAUCUGAGGAAGCCUUAUAUUGAGGAAGUGGAAGUGGAUCAGUGCUUCUCAAGACCGGGAACUUAUGUGACACGUGUGUGUGUGUGUGUGUGUGUGUGUGUGUGUGUGUGUGUGUGUGUGAGAAAGCUGCUUCUGAAACCAUCACUGAACGUCAAUCUCUUCCUAUCAUCCCAUGAUGUAGUCCACCCGCUGGCGACGCCCCUGUUUACGAGUCACGACAGGCUUCGUUAGCUCCGAGCGCUGCAUUUCAAGCACCGUUGAUCAUUGAGUGUCAGCUGCA
Long non-coding RNA from Megalobrama amblycephala (Wuchang bream), 908 nucleotides. RefSeq lists it as uncharacterized. The record is from RefSeq and is a predicted model, not a curated record. Lineage: Eukaryota; Metazoa; Chordata; Actinopteri; Cypriniformes; Xenocyprididae. The transcript is spliced from 4 exons.